RNAcentral lists this ribosomal RNA (520 nucleotides) under Parnassius ariadne. Its description in RNAcentral is "partial 16S rRNA". It matches the Rfam family "Bacterial large subunit ribosomal RNA", at positions 1819 to 2600 of the family's 2925-position model. Lineage: Eukaryota; Metazoa; Arthropoda; Insecta; Lepidoptera; Papilionidae. The record is from RNAcentral.
GUCUUUUUGAAUUAAUAAUAUAAAGUCUAAUCUGCCCACUGAUAAUAAAUUAAAGGGCUGCAGUAUUUUGACUGUACAAAGGUAGCAUAAUCAUUAGUCUCUUAAUUGGUGACUUGUAUGAAAGAUUUGAUGAGAUAUAAACUGUCUCUUUUUAAUUUUUAGAAUUUAAUUUUUUAGUUAAAAGGCUAAAAUAUAUUUAAAAGACGAGAAGACCCUAUAGAGUUUAAUAUUUAAUAUUUAUAUUAAAAAUUUUAUAUGAAAUUUGUAAUUUUAAUAUGGGUAAAUAUUUUGUUGGGGUGAUAAAAAAAUUAAAAUAACUUUUUUUAUAAUUUUACAUUAAUAAAUGAAUAAGUGAUCCGUAAUUUACGAUUAUAAGAAAAAAUUACCUUAGGGAUAACAGCGUAAUUUUUUUUUUUAGUUCAAAUAAGAAAAAGAGUUUGCGACCUCGAUGUUGGAUUAAGGUAAAAUUUAAAUGCAAAAGUUUAAAAUUUUUGAUCUGUUCGAUCAUUAAAAUCUUACA